ACGAACGCUGGCGGCAUGCCUAACACAUGCAAGUCGAACGAUUGCCUUCGGGUGAUAGUGGCGCACGGGUGCGUAACGCGUGGGAAUCUGCCCUUAGGUUCGGAAUAACAGCUGGAAACGGCUGCUAAUACCGGAUGAUAUCGCGAGAUCAAAGAUUUAUCGCCUGAGGAUGAGCCCGCGUUGGAUUAGGUAGUUGGUGGGGUAAAGGCCUACCAAGCCGACGAUCCAUAGCUGGUCUGAGAGGAUGAUCAGCCACACUGGGACUGAGACACGGCCCAGACUCCUACGGGAGGCAGCAGUGGGGAAUAUUGGACAAUGGGCGCAAGCCUGAUCCAGCAAUGCCGCGUGAGUGAUGAAGGCCCUAGGGUUGUAAAGCCCUUUUACCCGGGAAGAUAAUGACUGUACCGGGAGAAUAAGCCCCGGCUAACUCCGUG
This 434-nucleotide ribosomal RNA is filed under the name uncultured bacterium. Its description in RNAcentral is "partial 16S ribosomal RNA". It matches the Rfam family "Bacterial small subunit ribosomal RNA", at positions 29 to 507 of the family's 1533-position model. The record is from RNAcentral.